GAUCAUGGCUCAGGAUGAACGCUGGCGGCGUGCUUAACACAUGCAAGUCGACCGAAGCACUUCAUAAAGCUUGCUUUAGGAAGUGACUUAGUGGCGGACGGGUGAGUAACGCGUGGGUAACCUGCCUUACACAGGGAGAUAACAGUUAGAAAUGACUGCUAAUACCGCAUAAAACAGCAGAGUCGCAUGACUCAACUGUCAAAGAUUUAUCGGUGUAAGAUGGACCCGCGU
Molecule: ribosomal RNA, 231 nt
Filed under: uncultured bacterium
Lineage: Bacteria
Description: partial 16S ribosomal RNA
Rfam family: Bacterial small subunit ribosomal RNA
Source: RNAcentral